AGAUUAAGUUAUUAAGGGCGCACGGUGGAUGCCUUGGCACUAGAAGCCGAUGAAGGACGUUACUAACGACGAUAUGCUUUGGGGAGCUGUAAGUAAGCUUUGAUCCAGAGAUUUCCGAAUGGGGAAACCCAGCAUGAGUUAUGUCAUGUUAUCGAUAUGUGAAUACAUAGCAUAUCAGAAGGCACACCCGGAGAACUGAAACAUCUUAGUACCCGGAGGAAGAGAAAGAAAAUUCGAUUCCCUUAGUAGCGGCGAGC
Molecule: ribosomal RNA, 257 nt
Filed under: Staphylococcus aureus
Lineage: Bacteria; Bacillati; Bacillota; Bacilli; Caryophanales; Staphylococcaceae
Description: partial 23S ribosomal RNA
Rfam family: Bacterial large subunit ribosomal RNA
Source: RNAcentral